Molecule: ribosomal RNA, 462 nt
Filed under: uncultured bacterium
Lineage: Bacteria
Description: partial 16S ribosomal RNA
Rfam family: Bacterial small subunit ribosomal RNA
Source: RNAcentral
AGUGAACGCUGGCGGCGUGCCUAAUACAUGCAAGUCGAACGAACGAAUAAGAGCUUGCCCUUGUAAGAUAGUGGCGCACGGGUGAGUAAUAUAUAGCUAAUCUGCCUCUUAGUAGAGAAUAACAGUCGGAAACGAUUGCUACUACUCUAUACUUCUGCUUUACAUAAGUAAAGUAGAGAAAGUUUUUCGCUAAGAGAUGCGGCUAUACUGUAUCAUCUAGUUGGUAAGGAAGCCGCGUACCAAGGCCAUGACGCAUAACUUGUCUGAGAGGAUGAUCAGUCACAUUGGAACUGAGGCACGGUCCAAACUCCUUCGGGAGGCAGCAGUAGGGAAUAUUGCGCAAUGGGGGAAACCCUGACGCAGCAUCGCCGCGUGGAGGAUGACACUUUUCGGAGCGUAAACGCAUUUUAUCGGGAAAGAAUAAUGACGGUACCCGAUGAAUAAGCACCGGCUAACUCCGUG